Molecule: ribosomal RNA, 598 nt
Filed under: Salmonella enterica
Lineage: Bacteria; Pseudomonadati; Pseudomonadota; Gammaproteobacteria; Enterobacterales; Enterobacteriaceae
Description: partial 23S ribosomal RNA
Rfam family: Bacterial large subunit ribosomal RNA
Source: RNAcentral
CUUUAAUGUUUGAUGUUCUAACGUGGACCCGUGAUCCGGGUUGCGGACAGUGUCUGGUGGGUAGUUUGACUGGGGCGGUCUCCUCCUAAAGAGUAACGGAGGAGCACGAAGGUUGGCUAAUCCUGGUCGGACAUCAGGAGGUUAGUGCAAUGGCAUAAGCCAGCUUGACUGCGAGCGUGACGGCGCGAGCAGGUGCGAAAGCAGGUCAUAGUGAUCCGGUGGUUCUGAAUGGAAGGGCCAUCGCUCAACGGAUAAAAGGUACUCCGGGGAUAACAGGCUGAUACCGCCCAAGAGUUCAUAUCGACGGCGGUGUUUGGCACCUCGAUGUCGGCUCAUCACAUCCUGGGGCUGAAGUAGGUCCCAAGGGUAUGGCUGUUCGCCAUUUAAAGUGGUACGCGAGCUGGGUUUAGAACGUCGUGAGACAGUUCGGUCCCUAUCUGCCGUGGGCGCUGGAGAACUGAGGGGGGCUGCUCCUAGUACGAGAGGACCGGAGUGGACGCAUCACUGGUGUUCGGGUUGUCAUGCCAAUGGCACUGCCCGGUAGCUAAAUGCGGAAGAGAUAAGUGCUGAAAGCAUCUAAGCACGAAACUUGCCCCGA